This is a long non-coding RNA of Drosophila navojoa, 196 nucleotides long. NCBI's taxonomy places the organism in Eukaryota, Metazoa, Arthropoda, Insecta, Diptera, Drosophilidae. The record is from RefSeq and is a predicted model, not a curated record.
GCUGCAUCUAAAAUUUCCCUCUGUUUAUGCAUGCAGUCGACAAUCGCUUUAAAUGACGGGCAAACAGAGCGCUGACUAACAGUUAUUUACAACGCUCAACUCAAUUUCAACUCAAUUAAACAUCAUGGCGCGAGCAAUUAAUGAGAGUUCUACAAAAAUUGAGCAUGCCUACUAGCCGAUACCAUGUAAAACAUAU